GAUGAACGCUAGCUACAGGCUUAACACAUGCAAGUCGAGGGGAAACGACAUCGAAAGCUUGCUUUUGAUGGGCGUCGACCGGCGCACGGGUGAGUAACGCGUAUCCAACCUGCCCAUCAAUUGGGAAUAACCUUGCGAAAGUAAGACUAAUACCCAAUGAUAUCCCACGAAGGCAUCGGAAUGGGAUUAAAGAUUUAUCGGUGAUGGAUGGGGAUGCGUCUGAUUAGCUUGUUGGCGGGGUAACGGCCCACCAAGGCAACGAUCAGUAGGGGUUCUGAGAGGAAGGUCCCCCACAUUGGAACUGAGACACGGUCCAAACUCCUACGGGAGGCAGCAGUGAGGAGUAUUGGUCAAUGGGCGAGAGCCUGAACCAGCCAAGUAGCGUGCAGGAAGACGGCCCUAUGGGUUGUAAACUGCUUUUAUAAGGGAAUAAAGUGGGUCACGUGUGACUUUUUGCAUGUACCUUAUGAAUAAGGACCGGCUAAUUCCGUG
RNAcentral lists this ribosomal RNA (492 nucleotides) under uncultured bacterium. Its description in RNAcentral is "partial 16S ribosomal RNA". It matches the Rfam family "Bacterial small subunit ribosomal RNA", at positions 28 to 507 of the family's 1533-position model. The record is from RNAcentral.